GCCUCGGUGGCGUAGUGGUAAACUCGCCUUACCUGGUAAACAGGAGGGCGUGGGUUCAAUCCCAGCCAAGGCA
This 73-nucleotide transfer RNA is filed under the name Diaphorina citri (Asian citrus psyllid). It matches the Rfam family "tRNA". Rfam says of the family: Transfer RNA (tRNA) molecules are approximately 80 nucleotides in length. Their secondary structure includes four short double-helical elements and three loops (D, anti-codon, and T loops). Lineage: Eukaryota; Metazoa; Arthropoda; Insecta; Hemiptera; Psyllidae. The record is from Rfam by way of RNAcentral.